AGCUUUGUUCCUGACAGGCCCCGUCUUACCUCGCUCUCUCCACAGGCUCCUGACGCCUCCCAGAGGAGCCGCGGAGGAGGAGAGGAAUUCCAGCGGAUUCAAAGACUUCUCCGGGUUUCUUUUGACUCCUCCAUCUGCCUUGCCUUCCCCUGCUCUUCAUGUUGACCUGUUCCUCGUGAUCCCCUGCCAAACCAUCUUCCCGGGCCUCAGGGACUGGGCCUGUAUGUGCAUAGGCAUACGCAUUACAUGGGUGCACAGAGGUGCCACAUUGUCUUUUUAAGCAGUCUUUGAAGAGCCGCAGAGGAGCCUGGGGAUGGAUAGAUGGAGGGAUGGAUGUGGGGGUUGAGCCGAGCCUGGACGGCAGACAGCACCUGAGAGCCCACCUCAAACCCGGGGUGUUGCAGUGUCAAGAUCCAGUGCCGGUUCCUGCUUCACCUGCCUCCGGCUCAUUCUCCUUCUCCUCCAGGCAGUGCCAAUGUGUGUCCAGGCCAGGAUCCAAGACCACUGAGGACAUCAGGGAGGUGUGAUGGGAUUCACAGCCGGGACAGCAGGAACAUGGUAAGUGGAUUACCAGGAGAAGAAGAAGGAGCAGUCUACAGUACAUUGCUGUCUCCUUUAGACCAUGGAGUUCUGAUUGGGAGACAAACUGAAAAACAAUCCAAACAACCCCCACUCUAAAUAAAAGAUUGCAGCAAACAAGCAUGAUGCCUGGCUGACUAAAGUUAAAUAAAAUGACAAUGAUUUCCAGAUUAAGUAAAUAUUACAGUUAGAUCUAGUUUUCCCUGGGUUACCACUAAGCAGAACGUGAGUUUUUUUGUUUUGGAAAUGGUUACUAUGGGUUUCCAGGGGCCACAAACACAAAGACGUACUUUGAAAGUCAUUCACAGCAGAACUGAUAUAAAAGUUGUCAGAAUUAA
Limanda limanda (common dab) is the source of this 917-nucleotide long non-coding RNA. RefSeq lists it as uncharacterized. Lineage: Eukaryota; Metazoa; Chordata; Actinopteri; Pleuronectiformes; Pleuronectidae. The record is from RefSeq and is a predicted model, not a curated record. The transcript is spliced from 3 exons.